RNAcentral lists this ribosomal RNA (431 nucleotides) under uncultured bacterium. Its description in RNAcentral is "partial 16S ribosomal RNA". It matches the Rfam family "Bacterial small subunit ribosomal RNA", at positions 29 to 507 of the family's 1533-position model. The record is from RNAcentral.
AACGAACGCUGGCGGCAGGCUUAACACAUGCAAGUCGAGCGCGCCGCUCGGGGAGCGGCAGAGGGGUGAGUAACGCGUGGGAACGUACCCCUUGGUUUGGAACAACGCCGGGAAAAAGGAGCUAAUAUCGGGUAAGCGCCAACGGGGAAAGAUUUUUCGCCGAAAGAUCGGCCCGCGUCUGGUUAGCUAGUUGGUGAGGUAACGGGGCACCAAGGCGACGAGCAGUAGCUGGUCUGAGAGGAUGAUCAGCCACACUGGGACUGAGACACGGCCCAGACUCCUACGGGAAGCAGCAGUGGGGAAUAUUGGACAAUGGGCGCAAGCCUGAUCCAGCCAUGCCGCGUGAGUGAUGAAGGCCUUAGGGUUGUAAAGCUCUUUUGUCCGGGAAGAUAAUGACUGUACCGGAAGAAUAAGCCCCGGCUAACUUCGUG